UCACAAUGAUGACUGUUUUAUCCAACCAUUCGCAGUUUCUUCCAGAAAGGGAUUUACUCUUUGUGUUGGCAAAUCCUUCCUUGGAUGUCUGAGUGA
Molecule: small nucleolar RNA, 96 nt
Organism: Carcharodon carcharias (great white shark)
Lineage: Eukaryota; Metazoa; Chordata; Chondrichthyes; Lamniformes; Lamnidae
Product: small nucleolar RNA SNORD14
Exons: 1
Source: RefSeq, a predicted model, not a curated record